Molecule: ribosomal RNA, 687 nt
Filed under: Triticum aestivum (bread wheat)
Lineage: Eukaryota; Viridiplantae; Streptophyta; Magnoliopsida; Poales; Poaceae
Description: partial small subunit ribosomal RNA
Source: RNAcentral
AUGGCGACCAUGGCAUCUUCACUUAGCUUCAUCCUUGCUCUUCUCCUCGCAAUUGCUGCCACCGACGGUAUCACUGUCCACCUACUCAACAAGUGCCCCUACACGGUGUGGCCAGGCGCCUACCCGGUCGGCGGUGGUAGCAGGCUCGACCCAGGUCAAGCGGGGGCCAUUCAAGUUCCCCCGGGCACGGCUGGUGGAAGGAUUUGGGGGCGCACCGGCUGCAACUUCGAUGCCAGCGGCCGCGGGUCGUGCACCACGGGCGACUGUGGCGGCAUGCUGGCCUGCGCCGCCGGCGGGAAGCCACCUGCCACGCUCGCCGAGUACACGCUGGGUAAGGGCGGCAGCCCCGACUUCUACGACGUCUCCCUCGUCGACGGAUUCAACAUGCCGAUGAGCUUUGGGCCUACCGGCGGCAGCUGCCACGCAAUCAACUGUGCCGCGGACAUCAACGCAAAGUGCCCGUCGGAGCUGAAGGUGGACGGAGGCUGCGUGAGUGCCUGCGUCAAGUUCGGCACCCCCCAGUACUGCUGCAAGCCGCCGCUCAGGCCGUCGACCUGUGGGCCGACGGACUACUCGCGCUUCUUCAAGGGGCACUGCCCGGACGCCUACAGCUACGCCUACGACGACAAGAGCAGCACCUUCACCUGCCCCGUCGGAUCAGACUACCAACUCACCUUCUGCCCAUAG